UACCAGACGCCCCACACACGGUUGUUUCCUCUCCGCGGCAGAUCCAUUCAAUACAGGACGUCAAUUACCAUUUCCGUAUUCUUUUGGUGAAAGUAAAGCACACAAGGACGAAGCCAUCUGUCAAGCAAUGCCACCCAUGUGCUGCUCCCGCAUCGGCUCCUCUCACCCUGUCUACUCAGAAUCACUUCAGUUGCCUUUGCUGAAGAUGAAAGCAAAAAAUGUGUCUCUCCUACCUUUUCCAUUCCCUAAACAAAUUAGUCUAAUGGUUUGUUAAAACUGGACGUGCAAAAGCCGGUCUGUCAGAAUCAUAACCAGCAAUUCCAAGUAUGCCAUGUAUGUAUUAGCCAGACGAAAGUUUUUGAAAUAGGUACUAUGUUUUGAUCCAUUAAAGAUAAAUAUUGCUAUUCUUUCUAUUCAGCUGCCCAGGACACAUGCAAACUUUAAUCCAUUAUACACUGCAAAAACUUAAAAUGUUAAUUUCAGUUUUGUUUCAUUUUGCUGCACUACUCUGAGUGAAUACUCUGUAUUUUUUCCAAAGCCUCACUAACUUUAGGUACACAGCUUGAUUCCAAGCACGAUUUUCAGGAGUACUGAGCACUCUUUUUCUUCAUGGACUUUAGCAGGUGAUCUGCAAUAUUUCAUGUCUGUACUUAGGGCCUCAUGAGUCUUAACCCGGGUGGUCAAAACACAGGUUCAGGGAAGCCUAGGCCUGGCCAUUACUUCAAUUUCUUCAGCUGCAGUAUGGAGAUGGUCAUCCCUCAACAAUUACUACAUUGGAUUACGUCACAGUCCCAUCGUAAUGUCAAUAAAGUGACUGGGGAAUGCCAAAUUA
Molecule: long non-coding RNA, 832 nt
Organism: Columba livia (rock pigeon)
Lineage: Eukaryota; Metazoa; Chordata; Aves; Columbiformes; Columbidae
Exons: 2
Source: RefSeq, a predicted model, not a curated record